GAAUAAUACAUGCUGCUACAGAACGUAGGUGUAAUGUAUUAGAAAAGACAAAUCUUUUCACACACACCCCUGGUUCCUCUUCUUCUUAAGAAAAGAAACUAAUUGGAUUUUAAGACUGGAAUUUUUGACACUAGGAGAACUUAAUGGAAAUAUAUGCAUAUUGUGCAUGGAUGGAACAGUCCAUCUGGUUGCAUGUUUGGUUGCAUGUUCAGUGUCUUGGCAGGGGUGGUUCAAGCAUUACGCCAACUAUGCAGUUGCUGAAUGCGCAGUCCUCUGGGGGCCGCAAUUGAGGCACCUCCGGUUCAGCUGAGAGAGGGAGAGGGAGAGCUCCAGCCACCUCCACCUCCCAUUUGGCAUGCAACAGCUGUUGGUUGCUGUGGGAAAGAGCUCCAUCCUCACCCGGGAAGCCUUCGCGGAGCUGCUGGCGCUGGACACGGCAGUGCGGGGGCUGCGGAGCAAGACAGGACUCUCCUUCAAGGAGGUCGGCUCGAGGAGCAGCCCCGUGGGUGGCUAUGGGGCCUGAAGCAGAGAAGGCAGCAAGAGCAGGCAGGAGAAGGGGUGCCCAAAAGUCCGAUGUGAAUGCACUGCCAGAUAAUCUGGAUAAAUAGAAAACCUGGGAUAUAGGGACUGUCUGGAAGGGCCCUGGGUUAUAUGGCAGUGUGAACUGAGAUAACCCGGGGCCCUUCCACAGAGCCAUAUAACCCAGAAUAUCCAAUCAGAAAAUCCCACAUUAUCUGCUUUGGACUGGAUUAUAUGUCAGUGUGGACUCAGAUAACCCAGGGCUCUUCCACACAGCCAUAUAACUCAGAAUAUUAAAGCAGAAUAACAGACAUUAUCUGCUUUGAAUUGUAAUAUAUGGUAAUGUGGACUUAGACAACCCAGGGUCCUCCCACACAGCCAUAUAACUUCGAAUAUCAAGGCAGAAAAUCCCACAAUAUCUGCUUUGAAUUGGAAUAUAUGGCAGUGUGGACUCAGAUAGUGUGCUCUGAGUGUGCUCUGAUUUCUCUGGGAAGGGAGUUCCAUAGUCGAGAGGCCACCACUAAGAAGGUCCUGUCUCUUGUCUGCACCAAUCGCACUUGCGAAGGAGGCGGGACUGAGAGCAGGGCCUCCCUAGAAGAUCUUAAGCUCCUGCUUACCAGUGCCGCCAGUGAGAUUUCAUCCCAGGUAAACUCCCUUGCAGUAUCGCCCUUGUCUUGAUCCCCUUCCAUGCAGCUGUAUAAAAUCUACAUUGAACUGGAUUAUAUGGCAGUGUGAACUCAGAUAAUCCAGUUCAAAGCAGAUAUUGUGGAUUGUCUGCCUUGAUAUUCUGUGAUAUUUGGCUGUGUGAAAAGGCCAUAGGGCCCCUUCUACACUGUCAUAAAAAUCCAGAUUAUUUGAUUUGAACUGGAUUAUAUAGCAGUAUAGACUCAUAUAAUCUAGUUCAAAGCAGAUAAUGUGGAUCAUCAGUGUUAUGAUUGAGCCUCAUGGCUCUGCUUCUGGCAGACGUGGACGUAAGACUCCUCGAGAGUCAGAUACUCUCGAGGAGCGAGAAAGAAAGAGGCUGCGAGAUAUCUUUGCAGAACCAUCUGACGAAGAGUCUUUUAAGGGGUUCACGGAGAGAAUGGAGGAAGAGCUGGUUAGCUCGGAAGAGGAUGAGAUGGAUUGGACUCGGGUAAGGGAGGAGUUGGGUGCCACUGGCAAUAAUGGGAUGGAAGAUGAAUGGGGACCUUCAGGAUUAGACCCAUGGACAAGCUGGAGGGAUGGGACGGGAUCCACAGCUGGGGAUGCUGUGGGGCGUAGUCAGAGGUGUUCCAGCUCUGAUGAGGAAAGUGAUGAGGAAACGCCCGGGUUAAGGAGGGCAGCUGAUAGUGAUGAGGAUUUGUAACUGGCAUAAAAUGAGGCUUGGGAGCAAUUGCAAAUUGCGUUGGGCAAGGUAAUCUGGACGAACGCUUGGGAUCUGUGUGGGACGCUUUCCUGAAGACUGGUGUGUUUUCGUGUGCUGAUACCUUUGACCUUCCGUCGUCUUCUUGACGGACGCCAUCUGCUACUCUGGAUUUACGGACUGAAAACUGACUACGGGCUCGCUUUCUCCUAUUGAACUUGGAAAACUGCAAACGUCUGAUUCUGCCUCUCGACCUACGGAACAAACUGGGACUACGCUACUGCUUCAAUCCUUGGCUGCUGAGUUUGUAUUGGAAAUUUGCCUUGCUGUGUGAAGGAGUGACUCCUAGUUACUCAAAACAUAGUGCUGGCAGCAGAGAGGCAUCUGCUGCCAAUUAGUUGCAUUCUUUUGAACUCUUUGUUUCCCAGCUUCUGUUUGUUUAUCCCCAGGCUGAAGCAAGCUGUUUUGAUUUUACCCGGAUUAAACUCCGGUUUAAUCCGGUUUAUCUUUUGAAUGUUUUUCUUGCCCCUUUUUGUUUUUAAAGGCUAAAGUUGCCUUGCCCUUGUCUUUUACGGGCAUUUUGAGUUCUGUAAAUCCAAUAAACUCUGUUAUCUUUGA
Anolis carolinensis (green anole) is the source of this 2479-nucleotide long non-coding RNA. RefSeq lists it as uncharacterized. NCBI's taxonomy places the organism in Eukaryota, Metazoa, Chordata, Lepidosauria, Squamata, Anolidae. The record is from RefSeq and is a predicted model, not a curated record. The transcript has 2 exons.